UGGCUCAGUUGAUAGAGCAUGGUGUUUGAAAUGGCAGGGUUGUGGGUUCGAUUCCCAC
Molecule: transfer RNA, 58 nt
Filed under: Salmo salar (Atlantic salmon)
Lineage: Eukaryota; Metazoa; Chordata; Actinopteri; Salmoniformes; Salmonidae
Source: Rfam by way of RNAcentral